RNAcentral lists this ribosomal RNA (256 nucleotides) under uncultured bacterium. RNAcentral describes it as "partial small subunit ribosomal RNA". It matches the Rfam family "Bacterial small subunit ribosomal RNA", at positions 26 to 285 of the family's 1533-position model. The record is from RNAcentral.
AGGACGAACGCUGGCGGCGUGCUUAACACAUGCAAGUCGAGCGGUGACGCUCCUUCGGGAGCUGAUCAGCGGCGAACGGGUGAGUAACACGUGGGCAACCUGCCCCUAACACUGGGAUAACCUCGGGAAACCGGGGCUAAUACCGGAUAUGACUUCGAGCGGCAUCGCUUGAAGUGCAAAGCUCCGACGGUUAGGGAUGGGCCCGCGGCCUAUCAGCUUGUUGGUGGGUAAUGGCCUACCAAGGCGACGACGGGUA